Molecule: long non-coding RNA, 705 nt
Organism: Ixodes scapularis (black-legged tick)
Lineage: Eukaryota; Metazoa; Arthropoda; Arachnida; Ixodida; Ixodidae
Exons: 3
Source: RefSeq, a predicted model, not a curated record
GUCAGCAAAACAAGACGCGAGCCCGCGGGUCGCAGGUCGUCACGGGCCGCAUGGACUUGUUUGAAGCGGCGGCGGUUAUUCCGUGCGUGUUCCUUCGUGUGGUGCACUGCUUUGGUGGCUCACUGGUGAAUGUUCUGCAGCCUGCAGCAGUCGUCAGAAACGGUGACGGUUGCCGCGCUGUUGAUGCUUCAGCUUCAUCACAGUUUCAUCUGACUCCUUUGAGACCUUCAAGCUUCGCUUCACUGUCCUGACUCCGACGCAUGUGCGACACGUCAGUAAAAUUUACUCACCUAUCAAGUCCCUCACUCCCUCUUCGGGAAGCCUCCCCUUCGCUGCAGAACCAGUCAGGCAGCAGUUCGUAAGGGCCUCCGUCCCAAACACUGCGACCGCAAGGUCCUGUGUGAAGAUUGACGGCUGCUUGCACUCUACAAGUUUCAGGUGUGCCUCGGGAACAACGAUGUCUCCAAAGGAUGUCUGAAACAUUGGGCCAGUUGGUUCAUUGUAUUAAAUGUUUAAAAGUGCCAAAAAUAACAAGGACUAAGACAAAGGUAGACAACACAAGGCACACUCACAACAGUUGUUUAUUUGGAAAGAACAUUAACUACAGUCUAAGCUCCUUAUAACAGACCUCAAUUUUGACCAAGAUUUUGGUCUGUUGUAAAAGGAGUAGGCUGUAUGCAGAUAUGAAGUUGAGUCAAUGGCGCA